Molecule: ribosomal RNA, 308 nt
Filed under: uncultured bacterium
Lineage: Bacteria
Description: partial 16S ribosomal RNA
Rfam family: Bacterial small subunit ribosomal RNA
Source: RNAcentral
GAGACAGCAGUAGCCGCGGGAACACAGAGGGUGCGAGCGUUAAUCGGAUUUACUGGGCGUAAAGCGUGCGUAGGCGGCUUUUUAAGUCGGAUGUGAAAUCCCUGAGCUUAACUUAGGAAUUGCAUUCGAUACUGGGAAGCUAGAGUAUGGGAGAGGAUGGUAGAAUUCCAGGUGUAGCGGUGAAAUGCGUAGAGAUCUGGAGGAAUACCGAUGGCGAAGGCAGCCAUCUGGCCUAAUACUGACGCUGAGGUACGAAAGCAUGGGGAGCAAACAGGAUUAGAUACCCCAGUAGUCCCUGUCUCUUAUAC